This 945-nucleotide long non-coding RNA is filed under the name Homo sapiens (human). RNAcentral describes it as "HSALNT0080762". The record is from RNAcentral. Lineage: Eukaryota; Metazoa; Chordata; Mammalia; Primates; Hominidae.
CAAACAUUCUGGGAAGGGACGGUAGUCAUGAUGGAAUCUCACUCUGUCACCCAGACUGGAGUGCAGUGGCGCAAUCUCGGUUUACUAAAACCUCCGCCUCCCAGGUUCGAGUGAUUUUCCUGCUUCAGCCUCCCAAGUAGCUGGGAUUCCAGGCACCCAACACCAUGCUCGGCUAAUUUUUGUAUUUUUAGUAGAGACAAGGUUUCACCAUGUUGGCCAGGCUGGUCUCAAACUCUUGACCUCAGGUAAUCCGUCCCCCGCAGCCUCCCAAUGUGCUGACAUACAGGCGUGAGCCACCGCGCCCGGGCAAUAUUUUAUUAAUACUUUGGUAUUUUUUCCUUGUAUUGUACUUCCAAGUGAUGAAACUUACUUUGAAGUUUUCCCAGAAAGGUUUUCUUUCUCUCUGAUGACAUUAGAAUUAUUGAAAGAUUGAAUCUUGACUGUAAAAUUAACAGAUUGUUAAAAGGCAUCUAAAUCUUUUCAGAUAGAAUUAAUAAUUCAUGUUCAUUUCCAUUCUUUGGUUGUGGAAGUGAUUCUGGUUGUUAACAGUUCAUUCAAGGAAGAAAUAAGAGAAACAAAAGUUACUAUAAAAUUUUUGCAGCUAUGCGAAAGUAAGUUCCUGAUUACCUCGACCAAUUCUCCACUCCCACCAUAAUAGCUCACUUGGGCUGAUAAAGAAAAUAAUGUCAUUGUUCUUUGUUUGCUUAAAUUGCAAAAAGCCGGAUUUAAUUUUAUUGUUUCUCAUUAUGAAAUUAUGAGCUUCUCCAAAAUGCAGAAUAUACACACACAAUAUGUCAACAAUAAUCUUAAAAAAUCUAAGAAAAAAUGACCAAAUUAUUUUUGUCAUUUCUAUAUAAAAUAUUCACAUUUGCUAAAUAUUAUAUCUAAAUCUUUCAAGGCUAAGCAAAAGUUUCGUGAUAAGACUUGUAUAUUAAUUAAAGUAAU